GAACAACCACUCACUCCACCUCAAAAAACAUGGAGCGGAAACUGGCUUUAGGUCUUCAUCAGUCAAUCCAAACAAGUUAGAGGAUCUUGGUGUUUAAUUUCGGGUCGCUGCCGGCCGCUUUCUCCUCAGCCGCCGCCUCCUCCUCAGCCGCCGGUGCCGCCGCGGCCGGACUCACCUCCCCUAGCAAAGCCGGAUAGAGCGGAGCCAGCGGCGGACACGCGCAACCAGCCACCGAGGCCCCGCCCCCGCCUCACACUGACCGGCUGCCCUAGCCAAUCCACGCCCACCUGUCUGCGUCUGCCUCCAAUCCUGGGCCCGGAGCUUCAGACAGGCGCACUGUUCGGCCAGUGGCAACAAGGUGUGGGUCUCCUGGGGAAAUCCCGCCCCCGAUCCGGGAUGGGCAGAUAGAAAGACCAAUCAAAAGGCAGAGUCUGGCCUGACCGACAAGACUAAAAGCGAAUUAAAAACCAAAGAUCUCCGUGA
Long non-coding RNA from Neofelis nebulosa (Clouded leopard), 483 nucleotides. RefSeq lists it as uncharacterized. The record is from RefSeq and is a predicted model, not a curated record. The transcript has 2 exons. Lineage: Eukaryota; Metazoa; Chordata; Mammalia; Carnivora; Felidae.